UUCGGGGUACUCGAGUGGCGAACGGGUGAGUAACACGAAUGGGUGAUCUGCCCUGCACUUUGGGAUAAGCCUUGGGGGAAACUGGGUCUAAUACCGAAUACGGACCACGCGCUUCAUGGUGUGUGGUGGAAAGCAGGUGCGGUGUGGGAUGGGCCCGCGGCCUAUCAGCUUGUUGGUGGGGUAAUGGCCUACCAAGGCGACGACGGGUAGCCGGCCUGAGAGGGUGACCGGCCACACUGGGACUGAGAUACGGCCCAGACUCCUACGGGAGGCAGCAGUGGGGAAUAUUGCACAAUGGGCGCAAGCCUGAUGCAGCGACGCCGCGUGAGGGAUGACGGCCUUCGGGUUGUAAACCUCUUUCAAUAGGGACGAAGCGCAAGUGACGGUACCUAUAGAAGAAGCACCGGCCAACUACGUGCCAGCAGCCGCGGUAAUACGUAGGGUGCGAGCGUUGUCCGGAAUUACUGGGCGUAAAGAGCUCGUAGGUGGUUUGUCGCGUUGUUCGUGAAAACUCACAGCUUAACUGUGGGCGUGCGGGCGAUACGGGCAGACUAGAGUACUGCAGGGGAGACUGGAAUUCCUGGUGUAGCGGUGGAAUGCGCAGAUAUCAGGAGGAACACCGGUGGCGAAGGCGGGUCUCUGGGCAGUAACUGACGCUGAGGAGCGAAAGCGUGGGGAGCGAACAGGAUUAGAUACCCUGGUAGUCCACGCCGUAAACGGUGGGUACUAGGUGUGGGUUCCUUCCUUGGGAUCCGUGCCGUAGCUAACGCAUUAAGUACCCCGCCUGGGGAGUACGGCCGCAAGGCUAAAACUCAAAGGAAUUGACGGGGGCCCGCACAAGCGGCGGAGCAUGUGGAUUAAUUCGAUGCAACGCGAAGAACCUUACCUGGGUUUGACAUGCACAGGACGCCGGCAGAGAUGUCGGUUCCCUUGUGGCCUGUGUGCAGGUGGUGCAUGGCUGUCGUCAGCUCGUGUCGUGAGAUGUUGGGUUAAGUCCCGCAACGAGCGCAACCCUUGUCCUAUGUUGCCAGCGGGUUAUGCCGGGGACUCGUAGGAGACUGCCGGGGUCAACUCGGAGGAAGGUGGGGAUGACGUCAAGUCAUCAUGCCCCUUAUGUCCAGGGCUUCACACAUGCUACAAUGGCCGGUACAAAGGGCUGCGAUGCCGUGAGGUGGCNAUCNUUCAAAGCGAAUCCUUUCAAAGCCGGUCUCAGUUCGGAUCGGGGUCUGCAACUCGACCACCGUGAAGUCAGGAGUCGCUAGUAAUCGCAGAUCAGCAACGCUGCGGUGAAUACGUUCCCGGGCCUUGUACACACCGCCCGUCACGUCAUGAAAGUCGGUAACACCCGAAGCCGG
This 1355-nucleotide ribosomal RNA is filed under the name Mycobacterium sp. DWMJ-1948B4. Its description in RNAcentral is "bacterial SSU rRNA". It matches the Rfam family "Bacterial small subunit ribosomal RNA", at positions 81 to 1430 of the family's 1533-position model. Lineage: Bacteria; Bacillati; Actinomycetota; Actinomycetes; Mycobacteriales; Mycobacteriaceae. RNAcentral also lists the same sequence under 1 other name. The record is from RNAcentral.